This 254-nucleotide ribosomal RNA is filed under the name uncultured bacterium. Its description in RNAcentral is "partial 16S ribosomal RNA". It matches the Rfam family "Bacterial small subunit ribosomal RNA", at positions 524 to 776 of the family's 1533-position model. The record is from RNAcentral.
UACAGAGGGUGCGAGCGUUGUUCGGAAUUACUGGGCGUAAAGCGCGCGCAGGCGGCUUUUUAAGUCCGACGGUGAAAUGCCGGGGCUCAACCCCGUGCCCGCCGCGGAUACUGGGGAGCUGGAGACGAGUAGAGGCAAGCGGAAUUCCGGGUGUAGCGGUGGAAUGCGUAGAGAUCCGGAAGAACACCGGAGGCGAAGGCGGCUUGCUGGGCUCGGUCUGACGCUGAGGCGCGAAAGCGUGGGGAGCGAACAGG